GGUAUCAUUUAUUGUUAGAGGGGGCUCUGAUUAGAACCACACGAAGGAGCUUCCGUUAGUUUGUCCUGUACGACUGGGUCAAAUUGUCUUUUAGAAAUCUGAAUUUAUAGCAAUCUUUUAAAAUUGAAUACUCUGAUCUGUUUUAAGAACUGCCUACCAUUACCACCAGGAGACGAUACAGCAACGGAAUUGUGACUUUGUUGAUUGUUUUAACUAUUUACAGAUCGUAAGUAUUAGUUGCUGGUGUGUUGUGGCAUAUUUUGUAAAUCUGAUCUGGCUCAAGGUGUGAAGACAACUCGUACUUCCCGUUGGUGUCUCGGAAGUAGUUCUGAUUGUGAAGACAGUGAAGAGUAACAACGAAAUGACGUCUUUUGGAUUGAAAUUCGUUAUUUUGUUUUUGUGUGUCGUCUGCGUGUUGGGCUUUCUGCCUAACAGGUUCAACCUUCCGUCGUCUGACUUCACCCACCAGGACAUCACAGAGGCCGCCAUCUUGAGCGCUGUGGCGGAUUUUUGUCAGGAUUCGAUACCUAUUGGAAAAUUCGGUAGAAGCAGGGAUGUCGACAGCAGCAAACAACUAACAGCCAAGAAACUGUCUCAGGAGUAUUGUGGAGGAACUGUUUCUGAGAAGCGGUUCCAGGAGGCCAUCGAUGACAUCGUGAAGGCCAACAACAGAGUGGACCAGGACCACUACUCCGAGGCUGCCUGGCACGUCAACGGGGAGGCCAUCAAAGAAGCAAAUGAGAAGAUGAUGCUGUUACGGGAAGCAUCAGUAGAUGAACUAAACAAGUCCAUGCCAGACUAUGCCUUAGCUCGACAUCUGAUUGGUCAGUUUCUUCACGUUGUCCAGAUGUUCUACAGCAAUACCAACUGGCCGGAAAUGAAGGGAUCUGCUGUAUAUGACGCCUUAGGUAUUCGCGGUGAACCUCUGAUGGACCAGGCGCCAUUCUCUAUGGACACGUGCAGAUCAUGCAGGUCACUCACAGAUACCCUGUGUAUCGGUAACUUAUUGGUUGAUGGACAUCUGACCAGCGGCUACCGAAGUGGUCAGGACAGAAGGAAACCUGAAAGAAAUCCAAGUCUUCACCAGACUGGCAAAUGUAGUCACGGCGGCCCCCACGACACAUCCAGCACGACGUCUGCUGCAACUGGCGGCAUCAACAAGGACAGCAGCGACCCCAGCCUAUCCCCCCACUACUACCUCCACCAACAGGCGGCAGAGGGAGCUAUACGACACACCACGGCGUUCUUCAUUCACCCAGUAUAUGGAUUACGACAUCUGAUCGGAGACGGGAAAUUUGGUGAGCUUUUACAGUUACCACUUUCGGCCUCUAUAGGAUUCGUGGUCCAUGCUGGCGACUCCCUGGGCAUUGCAACAGCACGGGAAAGUGUCACGAGAAUAAUGUCUGCUACUGAAGGGCGUCAUUAUGUGGUAGUCAGCCAAGAUGACUCAGACAGCACCGAUGUUAUCACGUCCCAGGACGGGAAUCGUGUUCUCCAGUAUUUGACAACCCUGGAACCCAACACCAGCAGACCGUGUCCCAGUUUAGCCUUAACUACUUUAGAGACUGCUGCCGGUUUGAUGGACCAAGGCUCGAAGAUAUAUGUCUUGACCAACAUGAAGCCAGGAGACCUGGACAGAUGGGGUCACGUGUCUGCGUUGUUGACCAGAAUGAAGCUGAGCGUGGAGUUUGUUCUGACCAGGAGCUGUGUAAAUACAUCACAGAAACAUACAGGACCUUCCCGGACGAGGCGAUCUGCAGGCGCUGACCUGUACGCUGGUCUAGCAUCAGCUUCAGGAGGAUCCGUCUACACCACAGAUAAAUCCGGCGUUGGAAAAAUGUCAGAUAUUAUCAAGGAAUCUGCGACAACAUCCGGCGCGACUAUUCUCAAGAUGGCAGUUGAUAUAACGGCUGGGAAGUCGAUUCCCAUUCCCAUUGAUAACACUAUCCGAGAGGUGACUAUCAAGAUCAUAGCAGACGCCGGCCUCAGGGGGGGGAACCCGUCAACUCCCUGUCUGACCCACACGGUAACGUUAUCCCCAUGGCAACUGUUGGAAAUGUAACCAUCAAAGAUCUUGGAGGCGGAGUUCGAUUUAUCAAGAUAAAGUCCCCCCUGCCCGGAUUAUGGCAUCUGACGAAGAAGGACAGUUACCAUUGGGACCUGGAGGUGACCGCCCAGAGCACCAUCGACUUCAGCACCAAGUUUGUACAGACAAACCCCUUGAACGGAUUCCAGUAUGAGAUUACAGGAAGACCUAUUGCAGGUGACAAGGCUACUGUUAUUAUAACCGUACCGUCGAUAGACAAGAUAGGGGGAAUAGCCAAGGUUAUUCUCACAGACAGUAAAGGUGCAGAACUAGAGUCAUCUUCCUUGACUCAGGGUAGAGGUCGGGC
This 2393-nucleotide unclassified non-coding RNA is filed under the name Haliotis rubra (blacklip abalone). RNAcentral's name for it is "von Willebrand factor A domain-containing protein 7- like, transcript variant X3". Lineage: Eukaryota; Metazoa; Mollusca; Gastropoda; Lepetellida; Haliotidae. The record is from RNAcentral.